Molecule: transfer RNA, 67 nt
Filed under: Leatettix moraki
Lineage: Eukaryota; Metazoa; Arthropoda; Insecta; Orthoptera; Lentulidae
Description: tRNA-Leu
Rfam family: tRNA
About the family: Transfer RNA (tRNA) molecules are approximately 80 nucleotides in length. Their secondary structure includes four short double-helical elements and three loops (D, anti-codon, and T loops).
Source: RNAcentral
ACUAUUUUGACAGAUUAAUGUAUUGAAUUUAGAAUUCAUUUAUGUGAUUUAAANUCACAAGUAGUNA